Long non-coding RNA from Mustela lutreola (European mink), 469 nucleotides. RefSeq lists it as uncharacterized. Lineage: Eukaryota; Metazoa; Chordata; Mammalia; Carnivora; Mustelidae. The record is from RefSeq and is a predicted model, not a curated record. The transcript is spliced from 3 exons.
AGUAAAAUGGCCGCGUUGGUCUCCCCCUCCACCCACACUGCCACUGCAUCUGCCACGGUCCAUUACCAAACAAGGUUACAAAUACGGCCUGAGUCAUAGAGAAAAGAUUAAAUUACACGCAGGAAAUCCUGCUCACCAAAGCGCUGGAGUAAUGAGAUUCAGAAAGUCGACUGUCAAAAGGAGCACGAAGCAAGCGUGGGUGCCCACAGGGAGCCUGCUGCACCUCCCUCACCAUCCGGCCACCCCACCCCAGCUCCUGCUCCACCUGCAGAGGCAAUAAGAGCUCCAGACAGGAGUUUUUUAAGAGGCACUGGGACAAAAGGUCUGUUAUGGUUCUUCAAGCAGGAAGGUCCCUGACCCUGAGUUACUCAAGGCAUGAGGUCAGCCAGUCUGAUGCAACCGUUUCUGGUCGGAGGACGAGCCCCUGCCUGGCACAGCUCACCGGUGCAGCGGCAGGCUCUGAACUGUC